GCGGGGUAGAUCUCCCACCCCUGUGUAUUUCUUACCUGUGUUGCUUUGGCAGGCCGCUGGGUUGCGGCCUGGCCACCGGCCUUUGGGCUGGUGCGUGCCUGCCAGAGACCCUUCAAACUCUGGUUUAUCUAGUGUUGUCUGAGUAUCAUGCAAAUCGUUAAAACUUUCAACAACGGAUCUCUUGGUUCUGGCAUCGAUGAAGAACGCAGCGAAAUGCGAUAAGUAAUGUGAAUUGCAGAAUUCAGUGAAUCAUCGAAUCUUUGAACGCACAUUGCGCCCUUUGGUAUUCCGAGGGGCAUGCCUGUUCGAGCGUCAUUUCAACCCUCAAGCUCUGCUUGGUAUUGGGCUUCGCCGUCGUGCGGCGGGCCUUAAAAUCAGUGGCGGUGCCGUCUUGGCUCCAAGCGCAGUAGCAUCAUCUCGCUCUGGAGACCCUGGUGGUUGCUGGCCAGCUAACCCCCCCUUUUUUUUCUCAUGGUUGACCUCGGAUCAGGUAGGGAUACCCGCUGAACUUAA
This 513-nucleotide ribosomal RNA is filed under the name Xylogone sp. 64BDA. Its description in RNAcentral is "eukaryotic LSU rRNA". The stretch from base 162 to 315 matches the Rfam family "5.8S ribosomal RNA". Lineage: Eukaryota; Fungi; Ascomycota; Leotiomycetes. The record is from RNAcentral.